GGGCCCGCACAAGCAGUGGAGCAUGUGGUUUAAUUCGAUGCAACGCGAAGAACCUUACCAGGCCUUGACAUCCUCGGAACUUUCUAGAGAUAGAUUGGUGCCUUCGGGAACCGAGUGACAGGUGCUGCAUGGCUGUCGUCAGCUCGUAUCGUGAGAUGUUGGGUUAAGUCCCGUAACGAGCGCAACCCACAUCCCUAGUUGCCAGCAGUUCGGCUGGGCACUCUAUGGAAACUGCCCGUGAUAAGCGGGAGGAAGGUGUGGAUGACGUCAAGUCCUCAUGGCCCUUACGGGUUGGGCUACACACGUGCUACAAUGGUAGUGACAAUGGGUUAAUCCCAAAAAGCUAUCUCAGUUCGGAUUGUCGUCUGCAACUCGACGGCAUG
This 383-nucleotide ribosomal RNA is filed under the name uncultured bacterium. RNAcentral describes it as "bacterial SSU rRNA". It matches the Rfam family "Bacterial small subunit ribosomal RNA", at positions 917 to 1322 of the family's 1533-position model. The record is from RNAcentral.